AUUUUACGCCAGACUGUCUAACAACUGAAGGUCAUUUCAAGGCUGGAUUAUUGCAAAAUGGAUCCCUAAAGAGGGACCGAUACCAAUGCUUCGUGCACAGACUUCAGCUCCAGACAAAUCAGAGGUAAUAACACAACAUGAGGCUGACAAACUGUCUAACUGCACACUGGUGCUUGAUAAGCUGUCAGAGCACAAAGCAAAGUGAAACCAUCUAUGACAAUGAGAGGCAGUGAUUCACCCGGUAUCAUCUAUAAGCCACUCUGCUUACUACCAAAGACUAAUAACUAAAAUGAUCGGCCACACGGAGCAUUUUAAAGAGCUUGAUGAAGUAUUAUAGCCACAGCCUAGGCGAAAUUCCUCUCGAGUGAAGGAUGUGUAAUCGAUGCGCGCUCGAGAGGUUGUGGAAGUGAAAUGAAGAAUGAAGAGAGCAAUUUUCAGAUUACACUGAAAUGAUUUCGUGAUAUGCUUGUACUCAUUUCAUUAGUAUUCCUCUCAUGCUUGAGUGCUGCUGUUUGUGUUUAUCAGGGUGGGUAGC
Carassius carassius (crucian carp) is the source of this 535-nucleotide long non-coding RNA. RefSeq lists it as uncharacterized. Lineage: Eukaryota; Metazoa; Chordata; Actinopteri; Cypriniformes; Cyprinidae. The record is from RefSeq and is a predicted model, not a curated record. The transcript is spliced from 3 exons.